CUGCAGCAGAUGGAGGUUCUCAGGCUAGAGGUCUAAUUGGAGCUGUGGCCGUCGGCUGACACCAGAGCCACAGCAACUCGGGAUCCAAGCUGCGUCUGCAACCUGCACCACAGCUCACAGCAAUGCCAGAUCCUCAACCCAUUGAGCAAGGCCAGGGAUCAAACCCGCAACCUCAUGGUUCCUAGUAGGAUUCGUUAACCACUGAGCCACGAUGGGAACUCCAAGGCUUAACAUUCUAAAAGAUGAAGAGAUAAAUGCGUACUAGGGGAGAAGAAGAGUCCUUAUCAUCUGAAAUGAUAGCUCCUGCAGAACUAGAUUAGAAAAAAAGUAAGGAUUAAGUUGAUCCAAAAUUCAUUUCACCAACUUAUAAGGAUGGAAGUACAACUGGUGGUUCAAUCUCACUUUUAUCAUGGGGAUGUAGGGAUGAUGCUCUAAGAGGUAACAAACCAGUUUUAAAAGCAAACUUGUUCUUUUAGAUUAUGCAAUGAUAUCUCUUGGUGUCUAAGUCACCCCAAGCUUUCCUGGAAAAUUAAGUUUCUCCUAGCUUGUAUUCAAAGCCCUUUUCUAAAACUUUGCCAAGUCGCAAUUUAUAGAGGAAGGAGAAAAUGAAUAGGCAUUUCAGAAGACAAAGUUUUGACAUCUGCUAGCUAUGAUACUAAACUUCUAUGGCCUACCACCUUUUUCUAUAAAUGGAAGGUGAUGAAUUAAAUUAGGAAUUUCAAACUAGUCAUCUACUGGUUGAACACCAUCUUUUCUUGUGUUUUACUGGUUACACCGAUGUUUUAUUAUUAUAAAAUUUAACCCAAAGUUCCUUAAUUUGAGUGUGCAAUUUCUAGUUUAGCACAACUCAAUCACUACUUAAUGCCUAGAAUCCAUUCUGUUUUACAGUGUAUGAUAUGUCAUUGGACCUUAUAACCUAAAUUCAUCUCUGAGCAAACCCCCUCCCCAGCUCCAACUACAUGCCUCCAGCCCCACUUGGAGAAAAUCAAAGAAACGUUUAAUGACAUGUAUGCAGAAGAGAGACCCAGGAAAACUGAGUUAACUCACCAAAAUGGCUGAAACCUUCACCUUAAGGAGUAUCUUCAGGUAAAGACAAAAGGGGAUGUUAGAGGUAGUUGUUUGGUUCUUCAAAAGGACCAAGGAAAUUUGCAUAGAGAUGGAGAGGCAAAUGUUUGGUAAAGAGAUGUUUGCUCGGUCCUACAGAGACCAUGGGACACAGACAUGAAUUUUAACAUGAAUUUUGCUCGUUUCCUCCCUGUUUGCACACCCCUUUCAUACUAUAGUUAUCCAGGGUGACAGCUCCUUUCUGGAACAUGACCUGGAUCUACAUCCUUUUAGGCAGUUAGGGGAAAGGUCAAAGCUUCUUCCUGAGUCUUUUGAGCCUUAAAAACAAUCAUCAUAUGAGUUCCCGUUGUGGCUCAGUGAGGUAAGAAUCCAGUUGGUAUCCAUGAGGACAUAACUUCAAUCCCUGGCCUUGCUCAGGGGGUUAAGGAUCUGGCAUUGCCUCGAGCUGCAGUGUAGGUCGCAGAUGCGUCUCAGAUCUGGCAUUGCUGUGGCGGUGGCAUAGGCUUCAGCUGCAGCUCUGAUUCAGCUGAUAGCCUGGGCAUUUCCAUAUGCAACAAGUGUGGCCCUAAGAAACAAACAAACAAACAAACAAACAAACAAAAAAGCAUAAGUUAAUGCUUAUGUCAAAGAGGUACGUUUUGGGGUGGCAAAUUUUGCUCCCUAGAGUCUUGGAACCAAACGUUAAUUCUGUCUCCAAUUUUCUUCCUGUGUAUACCUGUACUAACUGACUCACAUCCAUCAAUUCUCUGCUCAAAUGUCAUUUUCUCCUAAGGAACUAUUGGAUCAUAAGCCAAACUAACAGAAGCAGAAAGUAGGAUGGGGGUUGCCAAGGGCUGGGAGGUCAGGGAAAUUAGGAGAUGUUAGUCAAUGGGUAUAAAGUUCCAGUCAUAAGAUACCUAAGUUUCAGGGAUUGAAUAUAUAGGAUCAUAAUUAUAGUUCACAAUAUUGUAUUAUACACUUGAAAGUUGCUAAGAGAGCAGAUUUUAAAUUUAUCACUAUACCAAAAAAAAAAAAAUUAUAUGAGGUGAUGGGGUGUUACUUAACUUUUGUAGGGGAGGAAAAAUCUUCUAGGUACUUGGUUGAGACAAAAUAUAUAUGUCUAUCAAGAAAGAUUAACAAGAGAGAGUUCCCAUCAUGGCUCAGCAGUUAAUGAGCCCAACUAGUAUCCAUGAGUAUGUGGGUUCAAUCCCUGAUCUUGCUCAGUGGGUUAAGGAUCUGUCAUUGCCAUGAGCUGUGGUGUAGGU
RNAcentral lists this long non-coding RNA (2309 nucleotides) under Sus scrofa (pig). RNAcentral's name for it is "lncRNA (ENSSSCG00000043338.1)". Lineage: Eukaryota; Metazoa; Chordata; Mammalia; Artiodactyla; Suidae. The record is from RNAcentral.